RNAcentral lists this ribosomal RNA (426 nucleotides) under Aname simoneae. RNAcentral's name for it is "partial large subunit ribosomal RNA". It matches the Rfam family "Archaeal large subunit ribosomal RNA", at positions 1925 to 2666 of the family's 2987-position model. Lineage: Eukaryota; Metazoa; Arthropoda; Arachnida; Araneae; Anamidae. The record is from RNAcentral.
UAAAAGAAUAUAAUUUUUAGUACCUCCUGCUCAAUGAUUUUAAAUAGCCGCAGUCUUCUGUGCUAAGGUAGCAUAAUCAUUUGCCUAAUAAUUAUAGGAUGGAAUGAAAGGCGAUACAUGUUAUCUUCUUUAUUAAGCAGGUUAAUUAAAAUUAAUAUUUAAGUAAAAAUUCUUAAAUUAUUAGGGGGACGACAAGACCCUGACGAACUUCACUCUAUGUUUAGCUGGGGCGGCAGAUAAAUAAAACCUUUCCUUCACUCUUUAUCACCCAACCCCAUAAGUCGAUUCUUAAGUUACCGCAGGGAUAACAGCAUAAUACUCUCCUGAAGACCUUAUACAAGAGAUUGUUUGUGACCUCGAUGUUGAAUUAAAAAUCUUUUAGAGGCAGCACUCUAAUAAGAGAGUCUGUUCGACUCUUAAAAAUUU